GGCCGCCCCCGUCUUUGUGAUUUUUCCUCUGUUUGCCGAAAAGGAGAUUCCCGGUCGGAAUAUUAUCGCUUUUCUACGAGAAAAAUGGCAUAAAAAUUGAUUUUAAACAGCGGUUGACAUGCUUCGAAGUACGGUAAUGGAAUAUUUAGAAUUUUUUUGUCACGAAUUUGCGCCAUGUUGCUACCCUUAUUUACCAUUUCGGAUAGUGUCUGGGACGCACGAACAAAACGCCGCUAUUCGGAUAUAACGAUGGAUUAUUUUGGACCAAACCAACAUUUGUUAUUGAAGUGGCAGUCCUGGGAGUGCAUUCUGACGAAGACAACAAAAGAGCUUCAUUUUAUCUACACCAUUUCCUUCGCCUCUCCAACCCUUCUCUCCUUUUUCUGGGCUGUGACGUGAGAGAAAAGCCAACCAACUGACUCAUCAGUUGCCAGGUAUUGAAUUGGAAGACGGGAAGCGAGGAAUUUCGCUCUAGAGGUGUUAUAGAUGGAUAUUGCUGGUAUUUCA
RNAcentral lists this long non-coding RNA (507 nucleotides) under Salmo salar (Atlantic salmon). RNAcentral describes it as "lncRNA (ENSSSAG00000107642.1)". Lineage: Eukaryota; Metazoa; Chordata; Actinopteri; Salmoniformes; Salmonidae. The record is from RNAcentral.